UUCGAGUCAAUCAUCCGCGGAUAUUCCGCGCACUGGCUGCUCAACAGCCUACCGCUCUCUGUGACUUAGCCUCUUAGCGGCGAAAUCGUCGCACACGCUGAACCCGGCUCAAGUCCCUUGACAUAGCCAUUCUGGCGGCGAACACGUUGCACUUACCCAGCGAGGACUCAAGUCAUGACCUAUCCAUCUGGCGGCGAACUAAUCGCACCUCACCCAACAAUGGUUUCAGUCACGACUCAGCCACAUAGUGGCACCCGCAUCGUACUUACCCAGCAAUGGUUUUAGUCAAUCCUGGCGGUCUGAUCCACAAUCGGCUUAACCAUCCGGCGGCGAAAUCCUUGCACGCGCCACGUCAAUGGUCCAAGCCCCGGGCGGUGAUCUCCAUGUGAUCGCCCCCAAUCCUCCCUCGGUAUCAACCUCGGCGGCGAAGUCGUCGCACACGCCCUAGCCUUGAUACCAGGGUCAUCUCAAGUCCUGAGAUUCCGGAAUCCACUUUCCACAGGUCGAGGGUCCAUAACCAACCCUAUGCUGUCGACCUAGAACAUUCUAGUGGCUAAUACCACUAUACUCAACAACCUAGGUUUAACUUCACUUUAGGUUCAUCACAUACAUAACCUAGGUAAAACCGCUAGGUUCUAUCUCAUCUCUGCCUAGAUGUCAACCUCUAGGUUCACUUGUUCGACCUAAGUUUACUAACACUAGGUUCGAUGCCAUACCUAGAUUUGUUCGACUCUAGGUUCAAGUACAACCUAUGCAUUUAAACACUAGGUUAGGUGCCACUCGAUCUACUUGACAUCCUAGUUGUCCAAUCGAAUAUUCUAUUGUUCUCAUGUCAAUCAACUCUACACUUCUAGAGUUAUCAUCUAGUUUACAUGCAUAUAUAUAAAGUCGUGCUACUCAUGCACUCAUGCUAUCCUCUAGCAUUUAUACAUCAUGUUCAUCAUGCAUUCCACUUAGCAUUCUAAUAUAUGCAUUAUCAUUAACAUGCACCAUUUAGCAUUGUCUACAUGCAUCAACUUGAAAACGUAUGUCUCUUAGACAUAAAGGGCGACCUAGUCGCUUCGGUAAGCACAACCCACUUUAGCUUACUUUCCGAUUGCUCGUCGACACUUGCAAUCGGCCUCCCGCGGCACUCGGCACCCGUUUGGGCCCGAUCUUGUAGUUGCACUCCAAUAGCACGUCGCUUCGCCGUUACGGUGCUCGUGACCCAAUCUCGCGAUUUAUGGACAUCGCCUCGGUCCUCUUGGUCAAAACGAAGCUAGCUCGGCCUUACUUUGCCGAUAUCUUUACACCCGCUUGACAAAUGCUAAAUCCGUCGCUUCCCACGCGUUUAAACACCUAAUAAUUUGGUUUACAGAGAGUCAAAAGAGAUCAAACCCUCUCAUAUACCAAAACCCCAUUUUGGAUGCCCUAGAUACUAUUACUACCAAAUCCCCCAAAUCCCUUCGUGAUUUGGGUAUAAUCCAUCUCAAUAGCAUGCUAGGGUACCAAAAAUACCAUUUCUAUGGUUUGAAAUCCCUUCCUUAAAGAUUUACCAUGAGAGGAGGCAAAGAGCUUACCUCUCUAGGUUGCUCCAAGCACGAGAAAGACGAAGGAGAGGAUGAAGAUCUCCUUAGUCUUCUUCUCCUUCCUCUUCUCUUUCUUUCUUCUCCUUUCCUUUCUUUUCUCUUAUUUUCUUUUCUUUUCUUUCUUCUCUUCUCCUUCUUCACAUAUAGAGAGAGAGAGGUGAGGGAGAGUGAGGGAGUGAGAGAAAGAGAGAGAGAAAAGCCCUCUCUUAAUCCCCCCUCAUAUUAUAAUAAAAUGCUAGGAAGCCCCUCAACUUUCCACCCUUCACACUGCCCUCACUGGGCUGAACCCGCGUGGAGGGACUGGUCUCCCCGACCUGGGACCGGUCCCAGAGGACCUUCCCAUUUUCCACGCGUUCGGGAACCGGUCUCUCCCUGCGAGACUGGUCCCUGGAGACCGGUCUGCCCACCAGAGACCGGUCCCCGAGAGCUCGUCUCGAGGGACUUAGCCAAUUUUUGGCCAUUCUCGCUGGUGUCGCCUGCGGGGGACCGAUCCCUCUCUUCCAGGGACAAGUUGCAUCAGCAACCCCCGCAACCCUCUGUCGAUGGGACCGGUCUCCUACUACCAGAGACCGGUCCCCGAGAGCAAAACCUGCCAAAAGUGGAGAAUUGCAUCUUUUGCUCUCGCGGACUCCAUUCCAAUACACUUUUUGGGUUUUGUGCAUCCUUAGCUUCUCCAAAGCUUACCCACUCAAUAAUUAGUCGAUCCUGGACGAAGUACAACCCUCAGAUUUCGAGAAUUCACUUUGUUACAUUCUCCCCUCCUUAAAAAGAGUUUCGUCCUCGAAACUCACUCAUUCACAGCUCUAAUUCACCCCUCAUUUUAACUCAUUACUUGAUCGAGGGUUUCAAUGCACUUUCGCACUCCAGAGUAGCUUCUUUUCCUCAUCGAAAUCAUUCAAAAGCCCACUACGGGAAAUGUGAGACUGGAUUCACUCACAUUUGCCAAGUAUAACCUCGAAAGUGCAUUAGGGCUUCACAAGGCUCGGUGGUAGUGUAAGUCGAUACUCAUGACUUCACACACUCUAGCACCACCCGCUGUUAGGCUUAGAAAGGAUUCAUUCCUUCACAGUUCUACUAAACAUCACCAUCCCUCGAGAUCAGGACUACCCUUUGUCCUUGUGGUGUGGAUCUAGCAAGAUCGCAUCAACUAGACGAACGAUCCACCACCAACACACUAUGUGCACGGGUAGACCCUACGUACUCACAAAGUGGCACUUCACCACUUUGGCUAUCCAAGAGUCCGAUACAACUCUUCCUUGCAUUUCUCAUCACAUCGGGGAACACACUCCGAUUCGAUCACCAGCAUUGCCUAGAAGCAAUAUUAUCGGUGCAUCGACCAAUCGCGAGUGCUUCAAUCCCAAUCGAAUCUUUGCUCUCUCACGAGAUGGUACACUCUCACACAUCUCUGAUCUCAAUCCUCUUGAGAGCAUCAUUCUCAAACUCCAAUCCUCGCGUGGCUAUCCAUUAUUCAAGUGUCUCCUAGAGACCACUUUACUUUCUCUCUAUUCUUGAUACGGUAAGCCACGAUCAACUUCCAUUCGCUCUUGCAACGAAUUUACACAAACCCGCCCUCCAGGGUUCAGGCCAAAACUCACUAACAGAGUUGUCGGCCGCACCAACCGUCGGUUUGCACAGGUGGACCGAGGCCACCAAUCCUACGCAGGUCUACCGCCUAGACUCGUCUCAACGACGCCUAGCGUCUCUUGCUCGCAAGCGCAGACCCAAUCAUCAUCGGGCGACAUUCUCAUUGGAGAAUUCGCACACACUCCAACCAGGAGCAACCAAGACCCCAAACCACGUCAAGUCCUCGGGUUGGGUCACUACACACUCGGUGUACCAUCGAUCUCAUGAUCCAACACACGGCAUUCCGCGUACUCGGGUCCAAGCUCGGACUACCAUCUUGACCAACACUCUGCCCUACCCAUAGGUACCGGGCCACUGUCUCUCAUAGCUGACUGCGCCUGCCCAAUAGGCCCAGGCUCCACAGUCCACAAAUGGUCCAGGCACGGGUCGUCCCCAAGCGCUACCCGCCAACGUCGUCCUACAUGACAUGCUCUGCAGAGCUAUACACUCUAUCGGUUCCUAGGCACCUAGUGCAAGCCACCAGCCCCCACGAGUGAUCCAUGGCCCGCUUCACACUUAGCUAGGCUAAAGUGCUACUGCCAACUCACUCACCCUGCUGAAUCAGAACCGCACCUCACGAGUAACUAUACUCGAGCGCUCUACGCCUCUCUACAGCGUCUCACACGAAGUCUAGCAUCAAGCAACUUGCCUAUGCACACCGACUACACGAGCACAACUCGCCCACCUCAAUUCGAGGUACUACUAGGCCCACAAGCCAAACUCGGCACUAAUCAACCAAUUUCGCAACAGUGGUUCAUCUUCACUGUUCGAUCUACCGAAUCCGUAUCCGAAAUACUCUUGGAAUAUUCGGGUAUCCCCAAACAUCAAGGCUCAACUCUCACAAUCUCUUAUCCAUUGCUUCGAGAGUCAUUUACUAGGUCACAUUCGCCACGAGUCCCAUUUCUUAUCCAAGAACCAUCACAAGCCAUUCGCUAGUGUCACUUGGCUUUCUACCUGCUCCAGCAGGUGCUAUACUCUCACAAUGCAAGCAUGCUCGGGUAUCCACCUACCGGACCACUCGGUCCCUACUAUGCAAUGUAAUAAUAGUAGCAACUGACCAAUGAUGAAUGCAUGCUAUGCACCAACUUGAGAUCAUACAAAAGCAUAUGAUUACUCAAUUAACUCAUACCUGCCACGUCGUCGUCGGCAACGGCAGGCCCCGCAACUCGAGUCGCUUACCCAUAGCCACUUGGCGCUCAUCGCGAACCCUCCGGUUGCAUCAUUCUCAACGGUCGCUUCCCCGACUAUGCUGCAGGUGGCACACCUGCAAGCUGUCCCGGAGAAGAAUGGACCGUCGCUAGUGUCAAGGCCCGGCUACUACCCUGCGAACACUCGUCCCGCAUAUGGCCCGAUAGCCCACACUUGAAACACUUGCCCUCACGCUGCUCGCACUACUAUGGGUAAUGAGGGCCCCCACAAAUCGCACAUCUCACCGAUGACCGAAUGUGGUUUGUCCCCGGGGCUCGAGAUCGAGAGCGCGAACCCGACGAGGUCUGUUGGGAACUUGAUUGACCAGUGGAUCCACUCGUUGGUCGUCAUUUUCCUUUCUCCUCGAAAUAUGCCUCGCGCCUCUCUCGCAGAGAUGCCUCGCCUUGUUCUAUCCACAAGGCCUGAUCCAGGACUUCCGCAAAAGUCUGCAACUUAAGCAUUAUCACAGGCUUGUAAAGAUCCGGCCGAAGUCCACGCACAAAGCAGUCGGCCUUAUCCUUGUCAUCCCGUACCACGUCUGGGAUACAAUGCACGAUACGGGAGAACUCCCGCUCAUAAUGCCUGACCGAGCAACCUCCUUGCCGCAGUUUUCGGAAUCUUUCCUGAAGCUUCCGCUUCUCACUAUCGGGGAAAUAAGCAAAAAAUAUCAACCCCCGAAACUCUUCCCAAGUCAUAGGAGGGAGACGAGGCGAUCGAUCUCGCCUAACGCCUUUCCACCACACCUUCCCCGAUUAUUUCAGAUAGUGCACGGCUAGGUUUACCUUUGUCUCGCUCCAACGUAUACAGAUCCUCGAAGAGUGUCUCCAUGGAAUUGACCCACAUCUCAACGACCCACGGAUCUGCAUCCUCUCUAUCAAAGGUAAGCGGAUCAAAUUUCUUGAAAGUCAUGAGGGCCGCUAAAGCUCGCUUCCUCUCCACCACAACCUCUGGACCAACAGGAGUCAAAUCGCCCGACCCCGACGGAAACGCAUCCGCCGCAACUCCCGGCUGUCCUCGACCAGCCGCAGCUGGUGCUGCCACCAGCCGAUCCACAAUCUCUUGGAGUCGUUCCAUUCGCUCCUCCUAGUGCAUGGCAGCCUCCUGCUCCCGCUGCACCACAUCAGCUUGUUGCCUCAUCACUCCAAUGAGCGUAGCCAACUAAUCACGAAGCUCCGAGUCUCCGCUCGCGUCGGUUUGCUCAGGGACACCACUCGUCCCCUCCCGCGCCGAUCUGGACGAAGAUCGCCUAUGGCAACCUCCUGCUGCCAUUGUUUCCUGAAACAGAACAACUCGAUUAGCUCUUGACCAACUCGGGUCGAACACGAGACCACUAACACCGGCUCAAAAGCCAAUUGGCGAAAGUCAUGCAAGAACACCUAUUCUCGUCACUCGGCUUCAUGUUGUGCGCGCCCAACAUGAACACCCUCGGUCGAGAAUAAACCAUACCUUGAGUCUACCUCUAAUAUCCGUCUUAGAGGUUAUGACACGACCCAAUCCAUUAACCUUUCGCCACGAAUCACAAGUCCUCGUCUCUCACGAGCCUUAUUCUCCUAUGGUUUCACUAUCCUAGGGUCUCCUAGGUCUGUCUAAACUAUUUUUCCAUUCUCUACUUUAUGCUCUGAUGCCACCUUAAUCUGUCACGCCCCGCGACUGCCCGCCUAUUUGGCCGGGUCGCGGCGCCGCAAACAGACCGCCGAACGGACAGAGUUUCCCCUGUACGUCCUAGGCGUCGCAAUCAAAACAAUACAAAGGUUCCAACCAGGAACUGAUAUCAAUCAAGAUUGCAUAAUGAAGUAUCAAAAACAUAACACAUCCUAUGUUAUUACAAGCAUGCAUUCUCAAGUUCCACAUAAUACAUUUGUUUAUAUUGAACUUCCAAAAUACAAUCCGAUUAUCAUAAACAUUACAAGUUUGAUACAACUUGGUUCAUUGUCUUCUAGUCCCCUAAGCUAGACUAUCUCAGGGUACUGCUACCUCGGUCUCUGUGAUAGGGCGCUAUCUACGGAGCUACGCCCUUGCCUCGGGCCACCGCGCCACUCACGUGCGAACCUGAAACACCCCAAAACAACAUGGGAUGAGAACCAACUCCAUGGUUCCCAGUGGGUACGGCCACCCAAGGGAAAAGCUCGACCAAUAGGUCCGAGGAGGCACUGCAACAUGUUAGUUCAAUAAUAUACAACAGAUAUAUAUUCAAAAUUGAAAUACAUGCCAUGCCUCACGAUAUGCAAUAUGAAAAUCAUGCAACUAGUAGAUCAAUCGAUUCUACAUUUUACUUAGCUACUCUUAGCUCAUAAUAUUCAACUCUAAGGUGUCUAUUACCUUCGGAUCAAACUCAAGUCCACUAGCUUCUAAGGUCUCUAUUACCUUAGCUCUAGCCUCUAUCACUAGCUCAUAGGGUUUCUACCACCUCUAUCCAGCUAUCCACCCGACUCGGCUUCGAGUCAAUCAUCCGUGGAUAUUACGCACACUCGCUGCUCAACAGCCUAUUGCUCUCUGUGACUUAGCCUCUUAGCGGCGAAAUCGUCGCACACGCUGAACCCGGCUCAAGUCCCUUGUCACGCCCCGAGCUCCGCCAAUUUGGUCGGAUUCGAGCACAUGACAGACGCCGAACGGACAGUACCUACCCUGCCCGCCCAAGGCUCCAACAACAAGUAUAUUACAAGCAAGUCAAAGAGAGUUGCGGAAUAUACAAGGUUUGCAAGAGGGCAAACAAUGACCACAGUGAAAGCAUCGAACUAACUAAACAAUCGAUAUACAUGUCAUUUGAUUACGUUUGAAUCAAACACAAGAAAUCUAUUACAUUCAUUACAUCACGAUUUCCAUUAACCAAAAUAUAAUUUACAUCAUCUUUAUAAUACAACAUUUUCACCUUAUGAUUUCAACAUACAAAAGUUGAAUUCACCGAAUGUAGGGUAUGCCUAUGUAACUCUGGGGCCGCUAUCUACGGCGCGACUCCCUUGCCUCGAUCCUCCGCCGCCCCGCUCGCGUACGGAUCUGCAGGGUUAGUGGUAAUGAGAACUAGAAGAAGUUCCCAGUGGGUUCGGCCGCCGACCACGCCGAUUCGCCCACUAGGUCUAAUUCAGGCAUAUGUAUUACAAUAAAGAAGAAUAAUGAACCAACUAAUGCAUUUCUAAUACAAUGCCUGCAAGAACAAACAAUUCACGGAUAGAUAUUCACCAUCAAAUACAUGAAAACGAUGCAUGCAUGUCCUUCUUCACUUUCCUUUGGCCUUUACCCAAUUCAACCUGGGGUGCUCCUGGUUUACCCCAACUCACAGUCCACAUAUCCAUCUAACGGGGGAGGCACAAGGCACUACCACCCGAAGGAUCUUCGCCGGGCACGUCCACCCGUGGUGCAUUUCCUCUCCGGAGUACACCGCUCGUGGAGGAGCGACCUCUCACAAGCCGGAACCAAUACAUGUGAGUAUUAUCCCAUCCUCAAUUUUGAGGAGGUAUGGCCAACCUGUCACAACUCUCACUGUCUCAAUGCUAAUGAAUGGUUAUUACCUAUUCAUGCACAUACUGUCACUUGCCAACGUCACGGUGGUCCUGAUGCCACAAUACACAUAAUGUCACUCGGGUUAAACCUUGUUUAACUAUUCACUUAUCGGUGUCAAUCGAGUCACUAAUGUCAAUGUCGCCUUUGUUUACUACGGUCACGGUCAUUUCUUACAUUCACAUGCAUAUAGGGUCUUUCACUAUCUUUGUUCACAUGGAUCUCUAUCAUUGCAAUAAUCUUACGCAGAUAAUUGUCACAACCAACAUGUACUGUUCAUUACCCUACCUGCAUGAAUGCUAUAAUAUCAACAUGCUCAAAGAAAGGACAUGGACAUAGAAAGAGAUCCGGUGUUUCCGGAUAGCACCCCCCACCUUUGUGUGUCACAAGGAUGCCACGGUUCCGAUUCCACGAAAUUAGGACUCGUUCGCCGCAAGCUACGACGAUCUGUACUAUUUUCGCUUACUAUUUUCGCUUGUUUUCUUGAUAUCUUCGCGCACGCUCGUUGUAUCGCCGAACCGAGCGCACCGAUGCGUUCGUAGACCUACCAAUUAGGUUAAAAUGAGAUCAACACUAAGUUUGAACCUCAAAAUUACAAAACCCUAAAUAUAGGUCCUCCACAAUGUCAUCUUCUCCAAUCAAGCCCCUAGCUUGACAAAGCAUGGAGGAAAACCACCAUAAACCUCUCUAGAUGCUUCAACUAGAAUCAAAAACCCAAAACCUAACUCAAAAUCACAAGAACUCACCUUUGGAGUCCAAAGCUUCCCUUCAAAAGCCUUGCCUAGCUUGGUCUUCACCUUGGAGAGCUUCUUCUCCAAGCUUUUCUCCUCCAAACCCUCCUUGGUCCAAGCCCUAGAGAGAGAGGGAAAGAGAAGAAAAGGGUUUUUAGAGAGAGAGAGGAAGGUUUGUGUUGAGGUGUGAGGAAAUGAGAGCUAACCCUAACCCUUAGCUCUAUACAACCAUCUCAUGCAAUAUUUGCACUUAAACCCCUCUCAAUCUCAUAUUUGCGACUAGCCCUUACUGGGCAUUUUUGGGCUCGGGGACCGGUCGCUCCCCUUCAGGGACCGGUUCCCGAGAGCUGCCCUGCUCUCUGCGCAGAGGGGGACCGGUCUUCCCCCGAUGAAACCGGUCUCCGGGGACCGGUCUCCCGCUGAAGGACCGGUUCCCGAGAGCUCAGCUUCCAGGACUUAGCCGAUUUUUCCUUCUACUCGAUUUACCAACAUUCGGGAACCGGUCUCUCACCUAAGGGACCGGUCCCCGAGAACAAAAAUUAUGGGAAUUGUCCAAAACUGCUGAUUCACUCUCUCGGGUCCCCUUAUAUUUCAUAUAUAGGCUCCAAUUCACUUUUAGCCUAUAGUAACUCACUCCUUUCCGCGUUCCGCUCAUUUCGACGAAACUCGGCACGACUCACGAGGAAGUGAUAUGUUACAUUCCUUGACAUAGCCAUUCUGGCGGCGAGCACGUUGCACUUACCCAGCGAGGACUCAAGUCAUGACCUAUCCAUCUGGCGGCGAACUAAUCGCACCUCACCCAACAAUGGUUUCAGUCACGACUCAGCCACCUGG
RNAcentral lists this long non-coding RNA (9439 nucleotides) under Ananas comosus (pineapple). RNAcentral describes it as "long non-coding RNA (ACOM_LNC001912)". Lineage: Eukaryota; Viridiplantae; Streptophyta; Magnoliopsida; Poales; Bromeliaceae. The record is from RNAcentral.